UAAUUUUGAUCAAUAUUUUGGGAUGAAUUAAUAAUCUGUCUCUAAAAGUACAUUAUUAUGAUGAGAUUAUAUGUCGGUCCUUAAUAUUGCAUUUUAUUAUGAAGGUAUAAAAUUUGGUCCCUAAAAUAUUUUUUACCAAUCGCAAAUUGUAAUUCAGAGCCUUGAGCGGGAGAAAGUACCGCCAAAAUAUAAUAUUAAAAUUUUAAUAAUAUCUUUUAUUUCACUAAAUAUAUACUUAUGCGCCUAAAACCUUUUUUAAUUUUAAUUUUCUGAAAAAUGUAAAAAGCACUGUUUUUCUCAAACAACUGGUCACAAAUUUACCCUAGCUUGAUCAUAAUGUACGCACAGAUAUUUGCUGAGAUGCACGAGGAGUGAGGGAGCAGCUUUGUCAAUUGCAUAUGCAGCUUUGCCAAUUGUGGAAGGUUUUAUUCUACACGAUUGUGGCUUCUUCUGUGGGUUAUUGCACAUAAGCCCAAAUCUCUGUUCAUCUCUCUGGAACGUGAAUUCGAGUAUGCUUUCUAUUCCAUCGACUAGCUCUUUUUGUUUAAAAAUUGUUCUAAAUUCAUUUUAUUGCUUGAUUGUUCGAGCUACUCUUAUUCUUUGUAUUCUCGGUAUAGAAUCUGUCUUUUUUUUUUAAUUUGUACAAUUCGAUAAUUUACUAUGAAAUUUAUCAAUUUGUGGAUGGUCAAUUAUCGUCGCUCUACCUUCACAAAGUAGGGGUAAGGUCAAUUAUCGUCUAGCUACGAAUAGCGGGUGGGGUACAACAGAGCCUUAGCUUUUUAAAACUAUGAGGGUGUGGUGUGGGGGCCGAGCCUUCAUAUUUGUUUGCUUGCUGUAUACUUUUAAAAUUUGGUUAUUUUGUGACAUAUCUACAGAUCUAAGGUCCAGAGUAGACAAUAUUCCCAUCCACUGUAAUCUGAUUAGUUCUUGAAGAUAUCGUCUAUUGUUGUUGAUGCUGAUAUUGUUGCUCUUAUUGGCUAUCUUUUCUUCCUCUUUUCCUGAGUUUGUCAUUGAUCUGGGAAGUGUGAUAUGUAUGGGUUAUACUUUUUUAGCCACUAUUUGAUAUAUUAGUUUUUGAAUUGUUUGUUGAAUUCUUAUAACCGCUUGUACUAAUAUGCUGAAUGACAAAUCUAGUGACACGGUUAUGGAUAGGUUGUUGUCCCGUGUUGGAAUAGAGUCAAGUUGUCCUGUUGAGUGAGAAGUCCUGUUUAGUAAGGAAUCCAUUGACAGUAUUUUUGACACUAUAUAAAAAUUUUUUAGAACUUCCCAAGUAGCAUUUCCGAUAUAAUCAUAGGCUCCUUUGUUUCUUUUAUCUUCUUAUAUCUAGAAGCCCAGACUGUUUCGCUUUCUCCAGAUACUCCAGAACACAUCUAAAGGUGGGAGCAUCCCCUACCAUUAAUCUACCUAUUUCUCUCUUCAUUUCUUACCUUUUAUCCGCAACUUUAGGUGGGCAUUAGGCGAGCUCCCCGGACACAUUUACGGGAAACGUCGUAUUGGUUAGGGGUAUUAGUUAGUUCCGGGAUUAUUUAUCCCAUCAUUUGUAUUAAAAUAAUGGAAUAAGUUAACUCAUCGCCCAUACCAGACAACCCCUUACACUGAACACAUGCAAGUGUCUAUGUGUUCACAUGGUCAUCGUUAUGAAUCAUCUGAACCUAGGGUAAGGUUUUAAUAAAAUUUAGCUCUAGG
This 1686-nucleotide long non-coding RNA is filed under the name Capsicum annuum. RNAcentral's name for it is "long non-coding RNA (CANN_LNC015613)". Lineage: Eukaryota; Viridiplantae; Streptophyta; Magnoliopsida; Solanales; Solanaceae. The record is from RNAcentral.